This 497-nucleotide ribosomal RNA is filed under the name uncultured bacterium. RNAcentral describes it as "partial 16S ribosomal RNA". It matches the Rfam family "Bacterial small subunit ribosomal RNA", at positions 28 to 507 of the family's 1533-position model. The record is from RNAcentral.
GAUGAACGCUGGCGGCGUGCCUAAUACAUGCAAGUCGAGCGAACAGACGAUGAGCUUGCUCCUCUGACGUUAGCGGCUGACGGGUGAGUAACACGUGGAUAACCCACCUAUAAUACUGGGAUAACUUCGGGAAACCGCAGCUAAUACCGGAUAAUAUAUUGAACCGCAUGGUUCAAUAGUUAAAGACGGUUUUGCUGUCACUUUUAGAUGGAUCCGCAUCGCAUUAGCUAGUUGGUAAGGUAACGGCUUACCAAGGCAACGAUGCGUAGCCGACCUGAGAGGGUGAUCGGCCACACUGGAACUGAGACACGGUCCAGACUCCUACGGGAGGCAGCAGUAGGGAAUAUUCCGCAAUGGGCGAAAGCCUGACGGAGCAACGCCGCGUGAGUGAUGAAGGUCUUCGGAUCGUAAAACUCUGUUAUUAGGGAAGAACAAAUGUGUAAGUAACUAUGCACGUCUUGACGGUACCUAAUCAGAAAGCCACGGCUAACUACGUG